Molecule: ribosomal RNA, 484 nt
Filed under: uncultured bacterium
Lineage: Bacteria
Description: partial 16S ribosomal RNA
Rfam family: Bacterial small subunit ribosomal RNA
Source: RNAcentral
AUUGAACGCUGGCGGCAGGCCUAACACAUGCAAGUCGAGCGGAUGAAGGGAGCUUGCUCCUGGAUUCAGCGGCGGACGGGUGAGUAAUGCCUAGGAAUCUGCCUGGUAGUGGGGGAUAACGUCCGGAAACGGGCGUUAAUACCGCAUACGUCGUGAGGGAGAAAGUGGGGGAUCUUCGGACCUCACGCUAUCAGAUGAGCCUAGGUCGGAUUAGCUAGUUGGUGGGGUAAAGGCCUACCAAGGCGACGAUCCGUAACUGGUCUGAGAGGAUGAUCAGUCACACUGGAACUGAGACGCGGUCCAGACUCCUACGGGAGGCAGCAGUGGGGAAUAUUGGACAAUGGGCGAAAGCCUGAUCCAGCCAUGCCGCGUGUGUGAAGAAGGUCUUCGGAUUGUAAAGCACUUUAAGUUGGGAGGAAGGGCAGUAAGUUAAUACCUUGCUGUUUUGACGGUACCAACAGAAUAAGCACCGGCUAACUUCGUG